AUGCGCACCAUGCUCAUCGCCGCGCUGCAUUGCAGUGCGGUGGGCGGCCACUCCGGCUCCACCGCCACCUACCAGCGCGUGCGCAAGCACUUCGACUGGCGGGGGCUCAAGCGCGACGUCGCCGAGUUCGUGCAGCAGUGCACGGUGUGCGAGCAGGCCAAACACGAGCACAUCAAGCCGGCGGGUCUCCUGGCCCCGCUGCCCAUUCCAACAGCGCCCUGGGAAGACCUGACCAUGGACUUUGUCGAAGGCUUGCCGCGCUUGGAGGGGUACGACACAAUCAUGGUGGUCGUCGACCACUUCACCAAGUUUGCCCAUUUUGUUCCCCUCCGCCACCCCUUCAACGCCCAGCAGGUUGCGCACGCCUUCUGGGAGAACGUGGUGAAGCUGCACGGCAUUCCCGCGUCCAUCGUCUCCGACCGCGACAAAAUCUUCACGAGCCAUCUAUGGCGUGAGCUGCUCGCGGGCGCAGGCACCAAACUGCUCUACUCAACAGCCUAUCACCCCCAGACAAACGGCCAGAGCGAGCGGGUGAACCAGUGCAUGGAGCUGUACCUCCGUUGCGCAGUUCACAACUCGCCGCACAAAUGGCGCCGGUGGCUGCCAAUGGCAGAGUUCUGGUACAAUUCGACAUUCCAUGCAUUGCUCAAUGGCACUCCCUUCAAGGCUCUCUACGGCAAGGAAGCCAAUCUAGGCGCGAUGGCGUCCUGGGUGGAGUUAGCGCCGACGGACGAGGAGAUGGACUGGGCGGCGCACACUGCGCAAAUUCGCGCCCAGCUGGAAUGCGCCCAGCGCCGGUUCAAGAAGAACGCCGACCGCAACCGCACCAAGCGUCACUUUCAGGCGGGUGAACAGGUGCUGCUCAAGCUUCAGCCUUAUGCUCAACGUUCGGUGGUCAACCGCCCGUGCGCCAAGCUCGCCUUCAAGUACUUUGGUCCGUACAAGAUCAUCGAGAAGAUCGGCACGCUCGCAUACAAGCUCGACCUGCCGCCAGAAAGCCAGGUCCACCCUGUCUUCCAUGUUUCGCAGCUGAAGCCCUUCACCCCCGACUUCACACCGGUGUACGGCGAGCUGCCCAAGGUGCCGGACCUCUUCGUCGACAACCUCGCCCCUACGCGCAUCCUGGACCGGCGUAUGAUGAAGCACGGCGAUGCGCCGGUGGUGUAG
This 1167-nucleotide ribosomal RNA is filed under the name Triticum aestivum (bread wheat). RNAcentral describes it as "partial small subunit ribosomal RNA". The record is from RNAcentral. Lineage: Eukaryota; Viridiplantae; Streptophyta; Magnoliopsida; Poales; Poaceae.